GUUCAUCUAAGAUUAGGUGCUUAUAACACAAGCAUCUGUUUUUAUAGCUCUUUUUAUAGUUAGUGGAGUGCUAGUAAAUAUAAACCACAGGGUUCAGGCAUGUUUCAUUUUUCCCUGAUGCGGGAUGAAUUGCGCUCUGAGCUCUGUUGACUCCAUCUCCCGUGCCGAUAAUGGGAGCCUGGGCAGCUACCACAGCUGGAACAGUUCUAACUAUCAGAAAACAGCUCCAUCCCGCUCUGCGUGGUCAGGAUCAUUGUCCCGGCACUUACCAGGAACCAUCUUCAGACCCCUUCCAAAAAAGGACACUUCCAGCAUCGAUGUGAGUGUGAGUGGAAGAGAAAGCAACGAGUGAGGGUCGGGGGGUUCCUGUGCCCACAGAAGGCUUUGUCAGAUAAGUUUAUCAAAGGAGCUUUUUUCCCCCCGUUUCUUCUCUGGCUUCAAGAAUGAGAGCCGACAAGUCAGACUCCAAGCCCUGGAAGGACUACAUGCCCCGCAGCUUCCCCUGCGAU
This 509-nucleotide long non-coding RNA is filed under the name Aquila chrysaetos chrysaetos. RNAcentral's name for it is "lncRNA (ENSACCG00020000915.1)". Lineage: Eukaryota; Metazoa; Chordata; Aves; Accipitriformes; Accipitridae. The record is from RNAcentral.